AGCAGCCGCGGUAAUUCCAGCUCCAAUAGCGUAUAUUAAAGUUGUUGCAGUUAAAAAGCUCGUAGUUGAAUUUCGGGAUCAAGGAAUCGGUCAUGCCUUGGUAUGUACUGGUUUUAUUGGUUCUCACCUUCUAAAGAACCAUAAUGUCAUUUAUUUGAUGUUAUGGGGAAUUAGGACUGUUACCUUGAAAAAAUUAGAGUGUUUAAAGCAAGCUUACGCUUGAAUACAUUAGCAUGGAAUAAUGAGAUAGGACAUCAGAUUCUAUUUUGUUGGUUUCUAGGAUCGAUGUAAUGAUUAAUAGGGAUAGUUGGGGGCAUUAGUAUUCAAUUGUCAGAGGUGAAAUUCUUGGAUUUAUUGAAGACUAACUACUGCGAAAGCAUUUGCCAAGGAUGUUUUCAUUAAUCAAGAACGAAAGUUAGGGGAUCGAAGACGAUCAGAUACCGUCGUAGUCUUAACCAUAAACUAUGCCGACUAGGGAUCGGAUGAUGUUAACUUUUUAAUGACUCA
This 507-nucleotide ribosomal RNA is filed under the name uncultured Glomus. Its description in RNAcentral is "SSU rRNA". It matches the Rfam family "Eukaryotic small subunit ribosomal RNA", at positions 569 to 1078 of the family's 1831-position model. Lineage: Eukaryota; Fungi; Glomeromycota; Glomeromycetes; Glomerales; Glomeraceae. The record is from RNAcentral.